Long non-coding RNA from Triticum aestivum (bread wheat), 2334 nucleotides. RefSeq lists it as uncharacterized. The transcript has 2 exons. The record is from RefSeq and is a predicted model, not a curated record. NCBI's taxonomy places the organism in Eukaryota, Viridiplantae, Streptophyta, Magnoliopsida, Poales, Poaceae.
CCCAUAUCCCUUUUAAUAUGGCGCUGGCGACAGGGGACCCAAAACCUGGUUUUUGGGCGCACCCGAUCAUGGCGCGUUAGUUCUGAUCGAGGCUCACGUACGUUGAUACGUGGACUCCUUCACUUAUCGUUAUCCCUUCAUUUUUUUUUAGACUAAUAGAUCUAACGGGUCUGUUUAAGCCGUCAGAUCAAAACCAACACCUCGCACUCCUCGGUCCUAGCCGCCUUGCUCCUGUGGUCCGGUCGCCUUUGUCCCGCGCUCCGUCCGCCUUUCUCCUCGAGGUCCGGCCGCUCCCCCUUUCCCCGAGGCCCCACGGCAGCGUCGCCGCCGCCCAACCGCUUGGUCCACAAGCUAGGAAUCUGGGCCGCCCUCCUCGCCGUGGUGGCCCUGCUGGCCGUCAGCGACAGAAGCGGGGUGGAGAGUUUUAAAGCUUAUCUGGUAUAUUUUCUGUGUGCCCUGCAGCAGUUCUUCAGUGCGCAUAAAAAAGACAAGCAGUUCAAUUACUAAAAUACUAAAUUCAUUUUUCAGUUCAGUUCAAUUGACAAAUUUAGAUCAGUCCAAAUCCUUGUUAUAGUUUCUGUUCAAAUUCUUAUUACGUAGUGCCUGCAUGCUGAUCCAUCUACAAGUAGACAACAAUUGCAGGAUCUGCGCACAACACUCGGUAAGAUAGCAUUUCUUCUGUCCCAGUUUUAUGAAGGCCAGCAAAAGCUCAUCAAUCCCCCAAAAAUCACAUUUUCGGUGCUUGCCGACGCUAGCCUUGAGUUGUAAGCGACUACUGUAACUACACUGACUACAAAAAUUGCAGCGAGAAUGGGUGUAGAAACUUCGAGUACGGCACCCUGCUGCAGCUCCGCAUCAGGCAGAAGCGCCGCAUGGAGCAGUUGCCUUCUGCUCCCAUACCUGUCGAUGCUUUAGAUUUCCAUACAUGAAUAUAAAUGUAUGUGUAGUCUCCAUAGUAAGAAAAAUGCAGACUUGUUCAGUCACGUGGUGUGUAGUUGCUGUUUGGAAUUCAUGCAUGUUCUGGUUCAUGCUGAAAUUAUGUCAUGAAAAGAAGUCAUCCCAUCUACUUUCAUGAUGGGCAACCACUUUAUUUGAGUGGAUAGCUCUGAGUUCUGACUUGCAUUCAUAGUUCUAAGUUCUAUAGUUCUUCAAUUUCUUAGUCGUACAGUGGUAUGAUCCCCUUGACUCAUGGCUCCUUUCUUUCCAUGUUAUUGGUGUGUCAUCGUUUGCAUUUGUCAGUGCCACUAGCAGUACAUAAUUUGCAAUGUCGUUCUAUUUCACAACUAAGACAUAAAAAGUUGAGAUUCAGAAGACAGGUUCGGCCAUAGCUGAAGGGAAACGGCAUGUCGAUGGUGUUCUAUCUUCUAUCCUAUAUCUAUCUUGGUUGCUCUUUGUUUAAUUACUUUGUAAUUAUUUCAAUUUUGGUUAAGUCUUUUCUCUGAUAUAUCUGUUGUAAAUUGUAGGUACCGAGGCAAAAUUCAUAGUUGUAGUUGUCUGCAAUUUACUAUGGCAAAAGGUCAGAAGAUUGUCCUUCCAGCGCGUCUGGCCACCUCCCCGUAGCACCGCCUCCAUCUCGCGCGCCGCCCCGCUUCCCCACAGCGUGCUGCCGCAGGCAUAACCCUACAUCGCACAUUGAGAAAUGGUGGCACGCGGGGUGUGAGGCGGCGUCUCCCCACCAUUUUUGUAGGUUGCCGCAAAAACAAGAUGCACAAGUUCAUCUUUUAUAUGCUUUUCAGUACAUCUACUUUCCAAUGGGUACGUCCAACGACAAUGAGUAGGCGGCAAGUGUACUGGUGAGCAGCAGGACGGAGGCAUGAGGCAGUUGAGUAGGUGUGUGCGGUGAGCAGCUACUGAACUGAUUCUGACACUGGAAUAUUAGUCCCACACAGCCUCUCAAGACCUUGUCAUUGUCUCUGAACCUGGUGGUCUUCGUGGCCCUGCUUGAACCUUCAUGGCUCAGGCCGUUCAUUACCUCCACCCCGAGGUCGUUCGACGAUGCAGCGCUCAAGCCGUUCACCCUUACCACCACAAGCCGUUCACCUCCGCCACACGAGGCAGUGCGACGACGCAGCAAUCAGGCGGUUCACUCUGCCACCACAAACCGUUCAUCUCAGCCAUAGGAGGCCGAUGCAACACUAAGGAUGUUGUGUUCUUUUUCAGUACAUGUUUUGUGUGCUUAUCAGUUAACCUACUUAACGAUUAUAUGUACAAUUUCCCCUUGGUUUACGUGUUCUUCCUAUAGCACAACAGGUGUUGUGUGUCAUGCCUUAAUAAGCAUUUUAUAAAACCUUGUAUGGAUCGAAACUAGCAUAUGUUAUGUUCUAUUCUUGUAAA